UUCGAAGCAACGCGAAGAACCUUACCAGGCCUUGACAUGCAGAGAACUUUCCAGAGAUGGAUUGGUGCCUUCGGGAACUCUGACACAGGUGCUGCAUGGCUGUCGUCAGCUCAUGUCGUGAGAUGUUGGGUUAAGUCCCGUAACGAGCGCAACCCUUGUCCUUAGUUACCAGCACGUUAUGGUGGGCACUCUAAGGAGACUGCCGGUGACAACCGGAGGAAGGUGGGGAUGACGUCAAGUCAUCAUGGCCCUUACGGCCUGGGCUACACACGUGCUACAAUGGUCGGUACAAAGGGUUGCCAAGCCGCGAGGUGGAGCUAAUCCCAUAAAACCGAUCGUAGUCCGGAUCGCAGUCUGCAACUCGACUGCGUGAAGUCGGAAUCGCUAGUAAUCGUGAAUCAGAAUGUCACGGUGAAUACGUUCCCGGGCCUU
This 432-nucleotide ribosomal RNA is filed under the name uncultured Pseudomonas sp. Its description in RNAcentral is "bacterial SSU rRNA". It matches the Rfam family "Bacterial small subunit ribosomal RNA", at positions 950 to 1382 of the family's 1533-position model. Lineage: Bacteria; Pseudomonadati; Pseudomonadota; Gammaproteobacteria; Pseudomonadales; Pseudomonadaceae. The record is from RNAcentral.